Molecule: ribosomal RNA, 608 nt
Filed under: uncultured bacterium
Lineage: Bacteria
Description: bacterial SSU rRNA
Rfam family: Bacterial small subunit ribosomal RNA
Source: RNAcentral
CCUACGGGAGGCAGCAGUAAGGAAUAUUGGUCAAUGGACGCAAGUCUGAACCAGCCAUGCCGCGUGCAGGAUGAAGGCCCUCUGGGUUGUAAACUGCUUUUAUAGGGGACGAAAAAGGGACUUUCUAGUUCAACUGACGGUACCCUAGGAAUAAGCACCGGCUAACUCCGUGCCAGCAGCCGCGGUAAUACGGAGGGUGCAAGCGUUAUCCGGAUUUACUGGGUUUAAAGGGUGCGUAGGUGGGUCGGUAAGUCAGCGGUGAAAUCUUCAAGCUUAACUUGGAAACUGCCAUUGAUACUAUCGAUCUUGAAUCAUCUGGAGGUAAGCGGAAUAUGUCAUGUAGCGGUGAAAUGCUUAGAUAUGACAUAGAACACCAAUUGCGAAGGCAGCUUACUACGGAUGUAUUGACACUGAGGCACGAAAGCGUGGGGAUCAAACAGGAUUAGAUACCCUGGUAGUCCACGCCCUAAACGAUGGAUACUCGACAUACGUGAUAUACUAUGUGUGUCUGAGCGAAAGCAUUAAGUAUCCCACCUGGGAAGUACGAUCGCAAGAUUGAAACUCAAAUGAAUUGACGGCUGAGAGNGCGAGGAGACACGAGGGAGAGG